AUUGAACGCUGGCGGCAGGCUUAACACAUGCAAGUCGAGCGGAGAUGAGGUGCUUGCACCUUAUCUUAGCGGCGGACGGGUGAGUAAUGCUUAGGAAUCUGCCUAUUAGUGGGGGACAACAUUCCGAAAGGAAUGCUAAUUCCGCAUACGUCCUACGGGAGAAAGCAGGGGAUCUUCGGACCUUGCGCUAAUAGAUGAGCCUAAGUCGGAUUAGCUAGUGGGUGGGGUAAAGGCCUACCAAGGCGACGAUCUGUAGCGGGUCUGAGAGGAUGAUCCGCCACACUGGGACUGAGACACGGCCCAGACUCCUACGGGAGGCAGCAGUGGGGAAUAUUGGACAAUGGGGGGAACCCUGAUCCAGCCAUGCCGCGUGUGUGAAGAAGGCCUUAUGGUUGUAAAGCACUUUAAGCGAGGAGGAGGCUACUGAGACUAAUACUCUUGGAUAGUGGACGUUACUCGCAGAAUAAGCACCGGCUAACUCUGUGCCAGCAGCCGCCGUAA
RNAcentral lists this ribosomal RNA (501 nucleotides) under uncultured bacterium. RNAcentral describes it as "partial 16S ribosomal RNA". It matches the Rfam family "Bacterial small subunit ribosomal RNA", at positions 30 to 523 of the family's 1533-position model. The record is from RNAcentral.